GCUAUUGGGAGAGACUGGAGGGAGGCAGCGCCGCCGGGUUCUGCCAUCCCAUUUUAAUGCUUAAUUCAACGCGCAGUGUCGGGACUUCUCUUUCUGCGUGGUCCUUGCACUAUACCAGGCGGCCCGCAGUCCGUACUCUCAAGACUGCCAGGCUGGUUGGAAUAAGGGGUCUGGGUGAACCCGGGGGGUUCUGCCCUUUACGGUGACUUUCUAAAAGACACCACCGGUGUCUUGACAGUCCAGCGCCUGGGGUGAGAGGCGGGGAGGAGGUUUUGAUCACUAAAACCAAUUACUUUUUUUUCCUUCUGGUCAUUCGGAUUUGUUUCCUGGGCCCCCUCCUCCGCCCCUUCUCUUUUCCCUCCCGCCUUUAGCGAAGUGACACAGGCAACACCUCGCCUGUGUUCGAGGUCGGAACUCACACCUUCUCUGGGGUGACGGCGGCAGCGUACUGGGGACUGGGGACAGCGGCAGAUUUCCUUCCAGCCCACGAUGCCUAGGGGGGCAGCGGCGGGGCUGCGUGGGGCUCUGCCCGCAGCACAUCGAGGCGGGAUUGAGGGGCUGCAGCUGGCCAGGAGUUGCUGCUAAGUGGACUAGGCGCAAAGUGUCGGAGAGGGCACAGCUGGGACCUAUCCCUGCUGAUAGCGGGAACAAGGGGCACCUGAUCCGAGGACGCCGGCGUCUUGAGGGCCGAGGACCGCUGAGCGCAGAGCCUCCCCUGCAACUCCUCCACGCCGGAGACCCGGGACCCGCUUUCCUGAAGGUGAAUCGUUCCGUCCAAUUGCCUUUCCCUCGAGAGCCAACGGGAGGGCGGGAGAGAGGGACGGAGGACGUGAGAGUGUGUGUGUCUGUGAGAGGGGGAGACGACGAGAGGCGAGAGGAAAAGUCCACUCGGCGUUGAGAGCAAACAAUCAGAGAUGGAAUAGAGAGGUAAUUGCUGCAAGCCCGCCUGGAAUCUCGCAGUCGGGGGAGCCGAGCGCGCCCCACGCAUCCGGCGAGGACAGCGGGCGGGCACCGGCGCUGGCCAGGGCUGCGGGACUGGGGCUCUGCCUCCGUACACACAUCUUGGUUACUUUGACACGGCGGAAGAAGGAGCGGGGCAAAGCGGCCAGGUGCCCGCACGCCACCUUGCAGCCGUUUUCAGGGGGACUUCAGUUUGGAUGUCAGGAGAUUCCUGAGCCCUCUUUGCCAUCGGAGGAGGAAACACGCGCGCGCACACUCGCGCGCUCGGGGCCACACUCAUACGCCCUCCACGAGCACACACCACCACCAGACGUGGGUUCCCUAUGCCCGUGAACGGUGACGGCGGAUUGGCAUCUCGGAAGCGAUGCAAGAGCGGUAAGGCUGGCGCGGGCCCGCGGAAGCUGCAGGAGCAUCGCUAGGUGUUGCCGCCACCAGGAAGCCGGGCUGCAGGAUGAGUAAGAGAUACUUACAGAAAGCCACAAAAGGAAAGCUGCUAAUAAUAAUAUUUAUUGUGACCUUGUGGGGGAAAGUUGUGUCCAGUGCAAACCAUCAUAAAGCUCACCAUGUUAAAACGGGCACUUGCGAGGUGGUGGCACUCCACAGAUGCUGUAAUAAGAACAAGAUAGAAGAGCGAUCACAGACGGUCAAGUGUUCCUGCUUCCCCGGGCAGGUGGCAGGCACCACGCGAGCUGCUCCAUCUUGUGUGGAUGCUUCAAUAGUGGAACAGAAAUGGUGGUGCCAUAUGCAACCAUGUCUUGAGGGAGAGGAAUGUAAAGUUCUUCCGGAUCGGAAAGGAUGGAGCUGUUCCUCUGGGAAUAAAGUGAAAACAACGAGGGCAAACGUGUAAAACUCUUCAAGUUCGAAUGGAGAAGUAGAAAGAGAAGGUUUCUGCUGUGCCUGAUGACAAUUUUUGAUUUUUCCACACUCAAAAAUAUUCUAGCUCCGCGUCGGAGCACUAGUGUGGCGAAUCCUAGUGUUGGUCGGAUUCUAAGGAAGGGACAGAAGUUUCGUUGAGGAGUAAAGAUUCAAAACAUCUCCUGAAAUGAGCUCUCGUCUUGGUUUAUUUCUCACAGAGCAGCAGGUAACCCACUAACCAAGGAUUAAUCAAGUGAUCCUCAAGCCUGAUUACACUCAACAUAUGCACAGAAACUCAGUUCUUGAGGUGAUCUUCAAGGGAGAUUUUUAUACCACUCACAAGAGGCACUCCAGAGCCUUAUUUCCAAGAGAUUUCAUGGCUCAUAAUCAGCCUCUUCUUCAAACCAAGACUUUAAAAAAGCCUGACAUGAACUUCUAUGCCAUGAAGAUACUGUCAGAUUUGAACUGCGUUCAAACUUGUAAAAUCGCACAUGCUAAAAGAAUUUGAAGAUGCUAUCUGAAGAGUUGGUGUUUCCAGGUGAUGUCAGAGACACUCACCUUUUGGGUUCUUGGCUUCAAUUGUGACUGCUUUUCCUAUUUCUGAAAGUCUGCCAAGUGCACCGGCCUUCUGCCAUGGAUGUGGUCCUGGGCCCGGUCCUGUGUUCAUUGGCUAGUGGGACCACACCCGGCUUUAUUGAUAUUUCCUUUGCGAACUUCUCUGGCAUGGUGUAGACUGAGACGAUUUUAUUUGUAUCCUAAUCUUGGAGCUCUGAAAGCCUACAUGUUUUAACAUCUUAAAGUUGCUUUUGUUAAAGGAAUGGAAAUAUAUAUCCAUUGAUAAUAAUUAUUGUUGGCAAGUAAUAGUUAUCUGAAUACAUCAAUCAUAUAAGAAUGUAUAGACAAGCUGACAUGUUUCCCCAAGGCUAACAUUCUACUGCAGCUCUCUGUCAAAUAGGUAGUAGUUAGAACUGAAUUUCCAUUUUCAUUAUAUACUAUUUUGUACUUCUAGAGUACUCUCCCUUUCAGUUUUCUUUUAACUGGGCUUUUUCUUUCAUGUUUGUGUUUACUUUUUUCCUUCACAGAAAUCAACAGUGAGCAGUCGAGUAUGUAGGUAGCUUUCAGUUUCAAAAAAUUGCCAGGGAUGCAUGUGGGUUUCUGAUUUCUUAGCCUGAGUGUUACUCACUUAGAUUUCUUCUAGUAAUUUUUUUUAACGAUCCUUUCUAUCAUUUUAAUAGACUGUCCUUGCUCGCUCCCAGUGACUGUUUGAAUGCUUAUAUAUUUGUUUGUUCAGUCUGUUAAUAGAAUUAUUCAUUUUCCUUUAUAAAUAUUUGCUAAUAGUUGUCCCAUUCAAACAAUUUCUUAGGUCAGUUUCUGUCCACAUUUUCAUUGUCAUUUUAACAUUUCUGUUUUUCAGUUCUACAGGAAAGUCUUACAAAUAUUUAAAGGCCUUAAACACUUAUGUACUUUUUUCCUAAGUUAUCACAGAAUGUAUAAUUUUAUACAUUUGUUUCAUUUGUUAUGUGAAGGAAGAAUUGAAAUCUCAUAGCCAUUCUGUAAUAGAGAUGUAAAGGUAAAGACUUCUUCGCUUACUCAUCUUAGACUACUAAUAGGAAGAUAAUUCAGAAACUGUCCUAUUAGAAGUUCCAUUAUGUUAAAGAAGAUGUGAACAUCUUUCAUAUUUUUAAAACUCACUAAUAUGGCCAAUUAAUUAUAUGUUGGCUUCCAUGAUGGGGGCUGACAUGCCUUGGAAAAUUGUCAUCUGUUAGUAGGUAACAAAUUUCAAAGAUAAUACAUUUCCCAGAUUGUCUCUGGGCAAAGGAAUUAGAAGUAUAAAAUCUGUUCAAAAUUAAAUUUGUAAAGUAUACUUUUGACACUGAAUCAAAAAGUAUACUGCCCCACAAAUCCACAGAAUGAAAUUACUUUUUCCCUCCAUUUUAAUUAGACAUAAAAUGAAUUAGAUGGUUCUGAGUGGAUUUUAUAAAAGUUCAAGACUGUAUGAAUUCAGAGAGAAAGAAAAAACAGUUGUGCUGGAGUUUUUGCAUCAAUUAUAAUGUCAUUAAUUUCUUUGGAGCAGAGUUAGAAAACUAUAUUAUUUUGGAAAUUAUGAAUUUGUCCUAGGUUUGUUUGAAAUUGUAAAUCAUGCUUCUUGUUUUUUUAAAUGCGUCCUUUAAAACAAAACUGGAAAUUCUGUAUUAUAUACAAGUGUAACACAUGCAUAUCAAUAGAAAAAAAUAAAUGGAAUUUCAAAUAUACUAGAUCAUUCCCCAUAGAUUAAUGUUGUGACUAUUCAGAAAAGGUAAAUAAAAUUGGGAUAUAAAAUGGA
Molecule: RNA transcript, 4138 nt
Organism: Suricata suricatta (meerkat)
Lineage: Eukaryota; Metazoa; Chordata; Mammalia; Carnivora; Herpestidae
Gene: TAFA2
Gene name: TAFA chemokine like family member 2
Exons: 6
Source: RefSeq, a predicted model, not a curated record